RNAcentral lists this ribosomal RNA (460 nucleotides) under uncultured bacterium. RNAcentral's name for it is "partial 16S ribosomal RNA". It matches the Rfam family "Bacterial small subunit ribosomal RNA", at positions 338 to 795 of the family's 1533-position model. The record is from RNAcentral.
CCUACGGGUGGCAGCAGUGAGGAAUAUUGGUCAAUGGGCGCGAGCCUGAACCAGAGAAGUAGCGUGAAGGAGGAACGAAAGAAGGGGGGUAAACGGCGGGGAUAAAGGAAUAAAGUGAGGCACGUGGGCCUUUUUGUAUGUACUUUAUGAAUAAGGAUCGGCUAACUCCGUGCCAGCAGCCGCGGUAAUACGGAGGAUCCGAGCGUUAUCCGGAUUUAUUGGGUUUAAAGGGAGCGUAGAUGGGUUGUUAAGUCAGUUGUGAAAGUUUGCGGCUCAACCGUAAAAUUGCAAUUGAUACUGGCAGCCUUGAGUACAGUUGAGGUAGGCGGAAUUCGUGGUGUAGCGGUGAAAUGCUUAGAUAUCACGAAGAACUCCGAUUGCGAAGGCAGCUUACUAAACUGCCACUGACAUUGAUGCUCGAAAGUGUGGGUAUCAAACAGGAUUAGAUACCCCAGUAGUC